This 651-nucleotide long non-coding RNA is filed under the name Mus pahari (shrew mouse). RNAcentral's name for it is "lncRNA (MGP_PahariEiJ_G0003430.1)". Lineage: Eukaryota; Metazoa; Chordata; Mammalia; Rodentia; Muridae. The record is from RNAcentral.
AGGCAGAGGGGGAGGAAGGAGGCUGGCUGAAGACCAGGAACAGAGAGAAGAGCCCACUUCUCCAUCAAAAGGUCGGUUCGGUUAACGCAUCCCCAGAGCAGGAGUUAAUCUAGGACUGGAUGCAGUGUAAAAGGCUCAAAAGAAUGUGAAUAAUGGUCUCUGUGUUCAUCAGCUCCGGAACAUUUCGCUGUGUUGAGAAGAAGAUGAAAACCAGGCUUUGCAACGCACGUAUAUGUAUCAUAAGCUAUCCGACUGAUAUAUAAACAUCUUUGCAUGUAAAUCCAAAAGAAGAGCACCGCAGAAGCCCCUGGAGGAGGGAGGGGGCUGGAGCAGCAAAACUUGGCAGAGCAAAUGUAUCCAAGGAUUUCGUGCCAGAAGGCACCUGCUUCAAUAUGCAGAAUUAAUUCCUGAGAAGCUUUGGAGGAAGAGGAAGAAAAAAUAAAAAUAAAAAUAUGAAAUUAUCCCUAAACACACACUUGAAACUGGAGACGCCUAAAGGAGAGUAGAAACGGAGAAGAUGAGAUUUUUGUGGGGACCACGGAUCAGUCAAAUGAGCAAUCGCCACGGAAAAUCCUAGGCGGAGCGGUAGCUGCCGAUGGGUCCCCUGCUCGCGUCCCCGCCGCUGCCGCUGCUACCUGUAGACACGCACAC